Molecule: ribosomal RNA, 960 nt
Filed under: Ascochyta koolunga
Lineage: Eukaryota; Fungi; Ascomycota; Dothideomycetes; Pleosporales; Didymellaceae
Description: partial 28S large subunit ribosomal RNA
Rfam family: Eukaryotic large subunit ribosomal RNA
Source: RNAcentral
ACAGGGAUUGCCCUAGUAACGGCGAGUGAAGCGGCAACAGCUCAAAUUUGAAAUCUGGCGUCUUUGGCGUCCGAGUUGUAAUUUGCAGAGGGCGCUUUGGCAUUGGCAGCGGUCCAAGUUCCUUGGAACAGGACGUCACAGAGGGUGAGAAUCCCGUACGUGGUCGCUAGCCUUUACCGUGUAAAGCCCCUUCGACGAGUCGAGUUGUUUGGGAAUGCAGCUCUAAAUGGGAGGUAAAUUUCUUCUAAAGCUAAAUACUGGCCAGAGACCGAUAGCGCACAAGUAGAGUGAUCGAAAGAUGAAAAGCACUUUGGAAAGAGAGUUAAAAAGCACGUGAAAUUGUUGAAAGGGAAGCGCUUGCAGCCAGACUUGCCUGUAGUUGCUCAUCCGGGUUUCUACCCGGUGCACUCUUCUACGGGCAGGCCAGCAUCAGUUUGGGCGGUUGGAUAAAGGUCUCUGUCAUGUACCUCUCUUCGGGGAGAACUUAUAGGGGAGACGACAUGCAACCAGCCUGGACUGAGGUCCGCGCAUCUGCUAGGAUGCUGGCGUAAUGGCUGUAAGCGGCCCGUCUUGAAACACGGACCAAGGAGUCUAACAUCUAUGCGAGUGUUUGGGUGUCAAGCCCGAGCGCGUAAUGAAAGUGAACGGAGGUGGGAACCUUUCGGGGUGCACCAUCGACCGAUCCUGAUGUCUUCGGAUGGAUUUGAGUAAGAGCAUAGCUGUUGGGACCCGAAAGAUGGUGAACUAUGCUUGAAUAGGGUGAAGCCAGAGGAAACUCUGGUGGAGGCUCGCAGCGGUUCUGACGUGCAAAUCGAUCGUCAAAUUUGGGCAUAGGGGCGAAAGACUAAUCGAACUAUCUAGUAGCUGGUUCCUGCCGAAGUUUCCCUCAGGAUAGCAGUAACGUUUUCAGUUUUAUGAGGUAAAGCGAAUGAUUAGAGGCCUGGGGGUUGAAACAACCUU